Molecule: RNA transcript, 5375 nt
Organism: Dama dama (fallow deer)
Lineage: Eukaryota; Metazoa; Chordata; Mammalia; Artiodactyla; Cervidae
Gene: NR6A1
Gene name: nuclear receptor subfamily 6 group A member 1
Exons: 10
Source: RefSeq, a predicted model, not a curated record
GCUGGCCCCUGACAGCCCCCUCCCCCUGGCGGACGACGACGGCGACGAGGGCGCCGGUCAUGGCGGAGCAGCGAACCGAGCGCGGGCCCUGAGCUCCACCGCAUGGAGCGGGACGAACGGCCGCCUAGCGGAGGGGGAGGCGGCGGGGGCUCGGCGGGGUUCCUGGAGCCGCCCGCCGCGCUCCCUCCGCCGCCGCGCAACGGCUUUUGUCAGGACGAAUUGGCAGAGCUCGACUCAAGCACUAUUUCUGUUCCAGAUGAUCGCGCUGAACAACGAACCUGUCUCAUUUGUGGGGACCGCGCCACAGGCUUACACUAUGGAAUCAUCUCCUGUGAGGGCUGCAAAGGGUUUUUCAAGCGGAGCAUUUGCAACAAGCGGGUCUAUCGGUGCAGUCGUGACAAGAACUGUGUCAUGUCUCGGAAGCAGAGGAACAGGUGCCAGUACUGCCGCCUGCUCAAAUGCCUCCAGAUGGGGAUGAACCGGAAGGCAAUCAGAGAAGAUGGCAUGCCUGGAGGCCGGAAUAAGAGCAUUGGGCCAGUCCAGAUAUCAGAGGAAGAGAUCGAAAGGAUUAUGUCUGGGCAAGAAUUUGAGGAAGAGGCCAAUCAUUGGAGCAACCAUGGUGACAGCGACCACAGUUCCCCUGGGAACAGGGCUUCAGAGAGCAACCAGCCCUCACCCGGCUCUACACUCUCCUCCAGCAGGUCUGUGGAAUUAAAUGGAUUCGUGGCAUUCAGGGAUCAGUACAUGGGGAUGUCUGUGCCUCCACACUAUCAAUAUAUACCGCACCUUUUUAGCUAUUCUGCCCACUCGCCACUUCUGCCCCCACAAGCUCGAAGCCUGGAUCCCCAGUCAUACAGUCUGAUUCAUCAGCUGGUGUCAGCCGAGGACCUGGAGCCACUGGGCACGCCCAUGUUGAUUGAAGAUGGAUAUGCUGUGACUCAGGCAGAGCUGUUUGCCCUGCUUUGCCGCCUGGCUGACGAGCUGCUUUUUAGGCAGAUUGCCUGGAUCAAGAAACUGCCUUUCUUCUGCGAGCUCUCAAUCAAGGAUUACACGUGCCUCCUGAGCUCUACGUGGCAGGAGUUAAUCCUGCUCUCCUCCCUCACUGUUUACAGCAAGCAGAUCUUCGGGGAGCUGGCUGAUGUCACUGCCAAGUACUCACCCUCAGAUGAAGAACUACACAGAUUUAGUGAUGAAGGGAUGGAGGUGAUUGAGCGGCUCAUCUACCUGUAUCACAAGUUCCAUCAGCUAAAAGUGAGCAAUGAGGAGUAUGCUUGCAUGAAAGCAAUUAACUUCCUAAAUCAAGGCCUGUCGCAUCAUAUGGGUACUGAUCUUGGAAGUCCCGCGCUGCCCUCCUCAUCACCCUGCCCCACUGUAGUGCAGGGCAUGGUUUGGAUUUUUUUCUUCAAACCUAAAUGCCACAGCCUCUAUAACUCAUAGAGGAAGGAAGAGGAUUUGCUUUGUUUAGUCAGUUUUAGUGCAUUUAAACACAGACACCAAGGACAGUACAUGCGUCAUUUAAAAUAUGCACAAGUUUACCAGUGACUGAAGAAGAGCAAAGUGACUGAUGAAACUAUUGGAGAUAAGGAAUCUGUGACAAGCUGGCAGUGGUUCUGACGGGCCCCUCCAGGGCAGAGUGGAGGUGCACAAAAACUAACACCCAUAUCAAGCAUGGCUUUAGUUAAAAGAGUGGUGAUCGUGAUUUACAUGGAGUAUUACCUGUGAAGUGGUGUUAUGUAGCUGCUGGUAACCAGAGUAUGCAAGAGAAUUUGUGUUCCCUUUUUUCCAGAAUAGCAUGUGAGUGAGCUGCUGUCAGAGUGGAACUGGGCUAUUUUGCUGCCUGUGACAUUGAAAGUGCUCUAUUCCUGUAUUCAGUUUCCUAGUCCAGAGACUCUUGAUCCCCUUCUCUUUGCCAGCUCCUCCCUUGGUACUAGCUAAACCUCCUCCUCUUGCUUCCUCACCUCUUAUGUAUCUGUCUGGUGUUCUGUGUGCCUCCCUUAGCCCAGGCCCUGUGUCGAACAUUAAAGACAUUGCAAUAAAUUAGAUCCCAGGCUCCUGGCCUCAAGAAGUACACAUUCUGAUGGCACUUGAUGCAUUGCUUGAGCCUCAAGUGAGGGGAGAGGGAUUCCCUGGUGGUCCAGUGGUUAAGACUUCGCCUUCCAAUGCAGGGGGUGCAGGUUCGAUCCCUGGUCAAGGAACUAAGAUCCCCUUGUGCCUUCUGGCCAAAAAAUCAAAACGUGAAACAGAAGCAGUAUUGUAACAAAUUCAAUAAAGACUUUAAAAAUAGUCCACGUUUUUAAAAAAUUUUACCCAAAAACACCCUCUACCACUCAAAUGGAAGGAGAUCAAUAACAACUACUUGGAGAAAGAGAAAUCUGAUAGUGGAGCCUCAAAGGCAGAGUAAGAUUUAUAUAGAGAAUAUUUAUUAAUAUAUUCUAUGUAUGCAAAAGGGAUUGUGUGUGUUUAUAUGUAUAUGAAUACACUAUAUAAUAUAUACAUAUACAUGAGAAAGACAUCUACAGGCAUACCUUGGAGAUACUGCUUGUUUGGUUCCAGACCACCACAGUGAAGUGAGUGUUGCAAUAGAGUGAGUCACGCGAAUUUCUUAACUUCCAGUGCCUGUAAAAUUUAUAUUUAUACUAUGCUGUGGUCUAUUAAGUGUGCAGUAGCAUUUUGUCUUAAAAAGCAGAGUAUAUACCUCAAAAAAAAAAAAUGCUUUAUUGCUGAAAAAUGCUAGCCAUCAUCUGAGCCUUCAGUGAGUCAUAAUCUUUUUGCUGGGGACGGUCUUGCCUCAGUGUUGAUGGCUUCUGAUUGACCAGGGUGGUGGUUGCUGAAGAUUGGGGUAGCUGUGGUGAUUUCUUAAAAUAAGAUAGCAGUGAAGUUUUCCACAUGAAUUGACUUUUUCUUUCAUCAGUGUAUUCUGUGUAGCAUGCCAUGCUGUUUGAACAUUUUACCCCCAGUAGCACUUCUUCCAAAAUUGGAAUCAGUACUCUCAAACCCUGCUGCUGCUUUAUCAACUAAGUUUAUGUAAUAUCCUAAAUCCUUUGUUACUGUUUCAACAGUCUCUAUAGCUUCUUCACCAGGAGUAGAUUCCAUUUCAAGGAACCAGUUUCUUCACUCAUCCAUAAGAAGUAACUCAUCUGUUAAAAUUUUUUUCCUGAGAUUGCAUCAAUUCAGUCACAUUUUCAGGCUUUACUUCUCAUACUAGUUCUCUUGCUGUGUCCACCACAUUUGCAGUUACUUUAUCCACUGAAGUCUUGAGUUCCUCAAAGUCAUCCAUGAAGGUUGGAAUCAACUUUUUUCAAAAUCCUGUUAAUGUUGAUAUGUUGACCUCUUUCAGUGACUCAGGAAUGGCCUCUGAAAUGGUGAAUCCUUUCCAGAAGGUUUUUGAUUUAUUUUGCCCAGAUCCUUCAGAGGAAUCACUAUCUGUGGGCAGCUAUAGCCUUAGGAAAUGUAUUUCUUAAGUAGUAAGACAUGAAUGUUGAAAAGACUCCUUGAUUCAUGGGCUAAAGAAUGGAUGUGUUACAGGCAUGAAAACAACAUUAAUCUCAUUGUACAUCUCCAUCAGAACUCUUGAUGCUCUGAUGCUCUGAUGACAGGUGCUUUGUCAGUGAGCAGUAAUAUUUUGAAAGGAAUCUUUUUUUCUGAGGAGUAGUUUUCCACAAUGGACUUGAAAUAUUUAGUAAACCACGUUGUGAACAGAUGUGCUGUCAUCCAGGCUUUGAUGUUCCAUUUAUAGAACACAAGCAGAGUAGAUUUAGUAUAAUUCUUAAGGGCAUUAGAAUUUUUGGAAUGGUAAAUGAGCAUUGUCCUCAACUUAAAGUCAUCAGCUGCAUUAGCCCCUAACAAGAGAGUCAACUUGUCCUUUGAAGCCAGACAUUGACUUCUCUUCUCUAGCUGUGAAAAGUCCUAGAUAGCAUCUUCUUCCAGCAUAAGGCUAUUUUGUCUAUAUUGAAAAUCUUUGUUUAGUGUAGCCAUCUUCUUUAAUUAUCUUAUUAGCUAGAUCAUCUGAAUAACAUGCUGCAGCUUCUAUGUCAGCACUUGCUUCUUCACCUCAUCCUUUUAUGAAGACAGCAUCUUUCCUUAAACCUCAUGAACUGACCUCUGCUAGCUUCAAACUUUUCUUCUGCAGCUUCCUCACCUCUCUUAGCCUUUAUAGGAUUGAAAAGUGUUAGUUAGGACCUUUCUCUGGAUGAGGCUUAGGCCUAAGUGAAUAUUAUGGAUGGUUUGAUCUUCUAUCCAGACCACUCAAACUUCCUCCUUAUCAGCAAUAAGGCUGUCUUACUUUCUUGUUAUUUUUGUGUUCACUGGAGUAGUGCUUUUUAAUUUCCUUCAAGAAAUUUUCUUUUGCAUUUACAACUUUGCUAACUCACAAGAGGCAUAGCUUUCAGCUUGUCUUGACUGUUGACAUGCCUUCUUCACUGAGCUUAAUCAUUUUUAGUUUAUGAUUUAAAGUGAGAGAUAUGUGAGUUUUCCUUUCACUUGAACACUUACAGGCAAUCAUACAGUUAUUAAUUGGCCUAAUUUCACUACUGUUGUUUCUCAGGGAAUUGGGAGGACCAAGGAGAGGGAGAGACACAGGGGAACAGCCAAAGGAACAGUCAGAGCACACAGCAUUUACUGAUAAGUUCACCAUCUUGUAUGAGCACAGUUUGUGGCACCCCAAAACGAUUACCGUGGUAACAUCAAAAAUCACUGAUCAUAGAUUCAUACAACAAAUCUUAUAAGAAUGAAAAUGUUUGAAAUAUUGCGAGAGUUACCUAAUAUGAUAAAGAGACAUGAAAUGAGCAAAUGCUGUUGGGAAAAAUGGCACCAGUAGACUUGCUUGGUACAGAGUUGCCACAAACCUUCAAUUUGUCAAAAAUGCAGUAUUUGUGAAGUGCAGUAAAGCAAAGCACAAUAAAACAAGAUAUGCUUAUAUGAAGAAAAAAAAAACAAAAGCUGGAGGGACCCAGUAGAAUAUCAGUGGCCCAGGUAGAAUAGUCUGAGUAGACGCACACGGGAGACCAUGUGUGAGUAUAUGUACAAGCAUGAGAGCGUCGGUGUCAGUGCAAUUUCCGAACGGGACCAGCAAAGAGCAGAUCUAAAGCUGCUGUGAAGGAUACACGGGGAAGUCAUUCAGUCUCUGUCCAGCACCCACCAGUACCCGUUUCGUGCCACACCCUGUGCUGGGAGCUGAGUGUGAAGCUGAGAGAGAUGACAGCCUAGCCCUCAAGGGGCUCGGUCUCGUGACUGUCCUUGAUAUCAGGGGUCUGACCAGUGCCUCGCAGCUGGAACAGUUGAACAAACGAUAUUGGUACAUUUGCCAGGAUUUCACUGAAUAUAAAUAUACACAUCAGCCGAACCGUUUUCCUGACCUCAUGAUGUGCUUACCUGAG